RNAcentral lists this ribosomal RNA (361 nucleotides) under uncultured Fusibacter sp. RNAcentral describes it as "bacterial SSU rRNA". It matches the Rfam family "Bacterial small subunit ribosomal RNA", at positions 1026 to 1382 of the family's 1533-position model. Lineage: Bacteria; Bacillati; Bacillota; Clostridia; Eubacteriales; Fusibacteraceae. The record is from RNAcentral.
AAUUGAGGACAGGUGGUGCAUGGUUGUCGUCAGCUCGUGUCGUGAGAUGUUGGGUUAAGUCCCGCAACGAGCGCAACCCUUGUGUUUAGUUGCAAACAGGUCAAGGCUGUGGCACUCUAGACAGACUGCCGUGGACAACACGGAGGAAGGUGGGGAGUGACGUCAAAUCAUCAUGCCCGUUACUGAUCUGGGCUACACACGUGCUACAAUGGCCGGUACAACGGGCAGCGAAGGAGCGAUCCGGAGCGAAUCCUAAAAAGCCGGUCCCAGUUCGGAUUGCAGGCUGAAACUCGCCUACAUGAAGUUGGAGUUGCUAGUAAUCGCGAAUCAGAAUGUCGCGGUGAAUGCGUUCCCGGGUCUU